AGAGUUUGAUCAUGGCUCAGGAUGAACGCUGGCGGCGUGCCUAACACAUGCAAGUCGAACGCUCCGCAAGGGGAGUGGCGCACGGGUGAGGAACACGUAGUUGACCUGCCUUCGAGCGGGGGAUAACAGUUCGAAAGGACUGCUAAUACCGCAUAACGUUGUCUCAAAUAGCGUGGGAUAACCAAAGGCUUCGGCCACUUGAAGAGGGGACUGCGACCUAUCAGGUAGUUGGUGGGGUAAAAGCCUACCAAGCCGACGACGGGUCGGGGGUCUGAGAGGAUGACCCCCCACACUGGGACUGAGACACGGCCCAGACUCCUACGGGAGGCAGCAGUGAGGGAUAUUGCACAAUGGGGGCAACCCUGAUGCAGCGACGCCGCGUGGGUGAUGAAGGCUUUCGGGUCGUAAAACCCUUUUUGGCAUGACGAGAACGGACGGUAGUGCCAGAAUAAGUCUCGGCUAACUACGUGCCAGCCGCCGCGGUAAUUC
Molecule: ribosomal RNA, 489 nt
Filed under: uncultured bacterium
Lineage: Bacteria
Description: bacterial SSU rRNA
Rfam family: Bacterial small subunit ribosomal RNA
Source: RNAcentral